UACGUAGGGUGCAAGCGUUGUCCGGAAUUAUUGGGCGUAAAGAGCUCGUAGGCGGUUUGUUGCGUCGGCUGUGAAAUCCCGAGGCUCAACCUCGGGUCUGCAGUCGAUACGAGCAAACUAGAGUGUUGCAGGGGAGACUGGAAUUCCCAGUGUAGCGGUGAAAUGCGUAGAUAUUGGGAGGAACACCGGUGGCGAAGGCGGCCCCCUGGACCGGUACUGACGCUGAGGCGCGAAAGCGUGGGUAGCAAACGGG
RNAcentral lists this ribosomal RNA (253 nucleotides) under uncultured bacterium. Its description in RNAcentral is "partial 16S ribosomal RNA". It matches the Rfam family "Bacterial small subunit ribosomal RNA", at positions 524 to 776 of the family's 1533-position model. The record is from RNAcentral.